Molecule: ribosomal RNA, 1218 nt
Filed under: Triticum aestivum (bread wheat)
Lineage: Eukaryota; Viridiplantae; Streptophyta; Magnoliopsida; Poales; Poaceae
Description: partial small subunit ribosomal RNA
Source: RNAcentral
AUGGCGACCACCAUCACGUUCGUGAUCCAUCUCGUCAUGAAGGGCAUGUCACCUCCAAGCAUCAUGUGCACAACGACGACGAACGACAUCUACUACGAGAUCAAGCACGACAACGACAUCAUCAAUGAAGAUGCUCAACACGCGCAAACGUACAAGUCCGAACAGGCCCUACUUCACACCAAGUCCAAGCUUCAUGAGCAUAAGAGAAGACCGCGAGACAAGCACCACCAAGAGCACCCUACGGCUACAACAACCACUUCGGCAUCUUCGCCUUCGGGCGUAGGGCAUCUUCACCUACUUCCCAUGAAUUCGCCUACAUCAACAUCUUCAACUACAAGGCGCCCAACUACGAGCAAGGGAGACACUUCCAUCUUCGGAAGCCCCUCAAGGAAGAUGGCCGAGCAUGGGAAUUUCCCUUCGGUCAUGGAGACGAGCUAUGAGGUGCCACAUCAUUUGGGCCUCCUACAACAAGAUGGCGACAAGAAGGUCGAGCUAGGGCCAUCCCCUUCGACCACGGCGACGAGCACGAACCUCUUCAACAACAUGAAGACGGCGCCCAUAUUGGACUCAUACUCCGAGUCAAGCUACGAGACCGCUCAUGAGACCUUAUCUUUGGUCUUGGAGGAGAGUGAUGAUGUGCCAUCUUUGGCCUUCAUCCACGGCUACGACCAUGACAUGAUUGAGCAUGGAGACAUUUGCACCUACAUCUCUCCGACACCCACAUGUGACGAGAUGCCCCAAUUGCCAUGUGAGGAGAUCCACCACCACAUGAGUGACUCCACCACACGUGACAUUGAGAGCAUUUCCUAUGAGAGGAUGAGUGUGACCACCACUAGCCCCACACAUGAGAGCAUGCCACACAUCCUAUGUGAGGUUGAGAGCCAUUUGAGUGACUCCACCAAACAUAUGAGUGAGAGCAUCAAAGAGGGAGUGCGUGAGCCACAACACUUAGUGAGUGACGUAGUUGACGUGGCAUGUGAGGCCACCUUGAUUUCUAACGACUUAACCUCUACUCCUGGUGUGUUUUCUUCUUUGGUGCUAGGUCUCCUACACGAUGACACGCUUAUCCUCGACGAGUCCAUACCUCCAAUGGAGAUGACGAUGGCCAUGGUGGACGAUGAUGCACCCCCACAUAGUUCCAUCAAGAUGAAUAUGACCACGACUCGGUCUUCGACACCUCACCUACAACACAUGAGCGAUGCUCCAAAGGUAACAUAG